AGGGUGCUCACCACGGUCGAUCGGGGGCCCACCGUCCCUGCAGCUUCACCUAUGUGCGCUUCUGCAGGGAUCCCGUGCCAAGCUCGUUUGCCUCAACCAUGUCUCUCUUCGUCAUGUGUGGUGGCCAAAAGGCCCGCUUUACUGGAAGCGAAGCGGAGAAAUAGGACAAGCCGUCUGCGCUGUCGUCGCCUACACCAUGCGCGGACGUAGAGACGAAUGAGAAGAGGUCGUCGCCGACAUCCUUGCCCCUCAGUUCCCACAACAGGAGCCCAUUUUUUUAUGAGGAGAGUUGGUUUAGUUGAUGGUUUCUCAUUCCCAUGUCAGUGGAGUUGUUCCUGGGCAUUCAUUUCAGUGAAAUCCAUUUCAGUUGAGGGCAUGCAAUGUAUGCAUUCUAUCAUAUGAGAUGUUCUUUCAGCUUAUCUGCCUACAAUAAUUGCAGUCACGUUAGAUGUUUUUCAGUUUAUCUGACCGUACAAUACUUGCAUUCCUAGCAUUCUGAUAUGUUAUUCAAAACUUAUGCGCGUUUC
This is a long non-coding RNA of Lolium rigidum, 527 nucleotides long. RefSeq lists it as uncharacterized. The transcript is spliced from 3 exons. Lineage: Eukaryota; Viridiplantae; Streptophyta; Magnoliopsida; Poales; Poaceae. The record is from RefSeq and is a predicted model, not a curated record.